RNAcentral lists this long non-coding RNA (37374 nucleotides) under Ananas comosus (pineapple). RNAcentral describes it as "long non-coding RNA (ACOM_LNC041028)". The record is from RNAcentral. Lineage: Eukaryota; Viridiplantae; Streptophyta; Magnoliopsida; Poales; Bromeliaceae.
UUGAAAGUUUUGAGGAGCCCAAGGAUCUAUCUAGAUUGUAUCUAUCACCUAGAGGGGGGUGAAUAGGUGUAACAACCAAAAACCACAAAUCUCGAUGCAAUAAAAAUAAAUGCGGAAAAUAAAAAGCACACCGAGAUUUACGUGGGAAAACUCCAACUUGGAGAAAAACCCACGGGACCAACACGCGAAAAAAAUAAUUCACUAAGAGAAAAGAUUACAAGGUGAUUACCGACUCCACGGACUUAACCUCUCUUAACCUCCUAUGAAUCUUCGCGCUACCCUCCGGGUUGUCCACGCCCUCACGUCCGAAUCCACGAACGCCUCCACUUCGAAUCCACGAAGCUUCAAUCACGCCGAAUCCACGACGCCACUCGAAUCCACGAGCCCACGAUCCGAAUCCACGAACCGCCGUCAAAUACGCCGAAUCCACGACGCCGUCAUGAAGAGCAUCAUGAUUAUGGUGAUCCUUUGCUUAGGAGUAUCGUAGAAAACCAGGAAAAGAAACUCCAAGCAAAGCGGAGAUCAAAUCGGCAUAUAGAUAUCAAAUUACAAUAUUCCGAUUUGACCUAAAAGAGGCUAAUAUGUAGAAAAUAGGUUUUAGAUGAAAUCCGAGCCUCUAGGGUUUCUCAAAUAUGUAUUUUCGUGAUGCUUACUUUGUUAGAGAACCCCAAUAGCUUAUUUAUAGACUUUAGAAUCAAUCGGAGUCGAAUUAGAAAGUUUUCACGGUUUUACACUGUGUACCGGUACACGAAAGGCUGUCACCGGUUACACAAGGACGGAACAGAAAUACGAAGCCAAGUCAGUGGCUGUACCGGUACGCUCUUGAUUGCUGUACCGGUACACAAUGCAAUUUUUGGGAUUUUGCAUUGUUUCGAGUUCCGUACACUUCCGAAGCACUUUCUAAUCAACUAUACUUUUGAUUAAAUGAUUCUAAUGCCUAUAACUAAGUAUGAAUCACCAUAACAUGAAUUAAAACUUUACCUGAGCAUCGUGAUUCAUAUCGUGAGUUAUUUUCCAACUUCUUCGAAAUCUUGAAUUCUUCGAUCUUCGACGAUAUGUACCGGCAAUACAAAAUCCUUAACAAACUUGUCUUCCCUAUUUAAUACAAGUUUUUCUAGAUUUUGCUUGAUGAAACCCUAGAUUUUGAGAUUUAGGGUUUAUUUUGGGGAUUUUCGAUUUGAGGGCUUUGAAACCUAAUUGAUGGGUUUAGAACCUUUAUUUAGGUUGGAUUUGAAGAACUCUAACUCCCAUUUGGAGCUUGAGAGAGGAUUUCUUCACUUGAGAUGAGUCUCUCCACCUUAGCUUGAGGUGGUUAAUGAUUGAGCUUAGUGUUGUUCGUAAGGUUCGUUUGACUCUCUUUUCUAUACCUUUAGGGUACUAGUAGAGUGGUGGACACCUUCGUCGGAGCUUACGAAGGGUUUCGGUAACUUUGAUGGGUUUGACUUCAUGAAAUCAGGGCGAAAUGGCCCCUAAGUAUUCUAUACUUGUCGUAACGUCAUUUUGAUUGCAUAUUCAUGUUAAAUGAGAUUUAUGUGAAUUUUAGAACACUUAAAAUGCAUGCCUUAUAUAUCAUAAAAAUUUCACUCUAUAUAGUAGGGCAUUCUGGGCAUUUUGCAUGCAUAUGGGAAAUGUUCGUGUUAGCGACUUGGAAACAUGUCUCUUAUGUUAGAAUUUGCUUGAAUUAUGCAUUGUAAACAAUAAACUCAUGUUUGGACUUAGUGGAAAAAAAUGUCAUAAAGAGGCACUUGACAUAGUAAACUAUGAAACUGCAACAUAGAGACAUAGUGAUAGGCCAUUGAACAUCAACUAUAGUCCAUGUUAGAGACAUGAUGACAUAGAGAUAGGCCUUUGAGACAUUCGAAGUGUAUUCCAUGUUUUUAGACAUGAGGACUUGGUACUUGAGACAGAUCUUUCGCUUGCUUGCCAUUGUGCUCAUUCGCACAUGCUUGUGAGGGUCGCUCCUUACAAGCCGGCACUCCAGAGAUAGCCAUCGCGACAUAUGCUCGCUCGUGCGGGAUUGGGCGCCGAAAUGGGAUGCCGUGGGGGAGGCUCAUUCCUAGAGUGGGGAUGUUGACUACCACAGAGCCAUUAGGCACGGCGCAGGCCGGACUACCCACGGGUAGGUCCUACAGGAUUGGAUCAUUGAUGACUUAGUAUACCGACUGGACAUUGACUAAAAUAGUAAACAAGACAUUUUACUAUUUAGCUUGUGGACAUCAUGCUAGUGAUACUUUGGUACAUUCAUGUUAGAAUAGUCCUUUUAUUACUUAUGCAAAUUCAUGCUAAGUAGAGACAUCAUAUUGUAGUAAGUUUACAUGUUUAAUUACAUAUCGAUUCUAUUGCUUUUAUUGUUACUUACCUGUUUAGCUCUUUUGGGCCUAGUGAUGCUUUCACUGAAGUCAGUAAUUGCCCACUGGGAACUAUUAUUUAAUAGUUCUCACGCCCCCUGUUUUAUGAUUUUUCUUUCAGAGCCCUCUGCACCGGCGGAGGCACGGGAUCGCAGCAAGAGGAUCGCUAGCUAGAUAGCGAGGAUUUAUUGUUACUUAGGUGGUUUUCUCUCUUUUUGUUGUUGUUGAGAGAGAGUGAGGUUUUGUAUCCAUGUAUAGAGACCACCUAUGUAUUUACUUAUAGCACUUGUUUUGGGAUUUCUAUUGUACUACCUUUGAUUUACUUAUGGUGGAUGUUAGCUCCUUUACUUGUUUCCUCUUAUAGAAUCUAGAUAUUGUACUAUGCUCUGAUACUCCUAAAUGUCUUUUAUUAUUGCUUUAUUUACCGUUGUUUUAUAAACGCCUUAUAUGUUUUAGACGUAUGGCGAGUCUAGACACGUGCCGGGUGGGCUUCUGCUGGGUCCCGGGGCGUGACAACUAGUCUCUUAGCACCCUAAAGAUGUAGGAACAAGAGUUAAACGAACCUUACGAAUAACCAUAAGGUUGAUCAUUAACCAUCUCAAGCUAAGGUGGAGAAAAACUCACCGAAUGCGAAGGAAGCUCUCUCGAUCUCCAAAUGGGAGUUGGUGUCCUUCCAAAACAACCUAAACAAAGGUUCUAAACCCAUCAAUUGGGUCCCAAAGUUCUCAAAUCGAAAAUCCCCAAAAUAAACUCUAAAAUCUAAAUCUAGGAUUUCAUUUGGUAAAAACUACCAAAACAAGCUCCAAAGAGUAGAUUAAGCAUACUAACCUUCUUGGUAGCUCCAAACCAAGCUCAAAAUACUCUAUGGUUGAAGAUUGCUCCUCAAUCAAGCUCCUAGCCCAAGCUCCAAGCCUCCAAUGGUGAAGAAAGAGAGAAAGGGUUGAUGCUCCAAGCUUUUUCAAGCAAGCUCUUCCUAUCCUCCUUCUUCCUCCUUUUCUUCUUCUUCUCUUUCUAGAGGUAUGAGAGAGUGAGAAGUGAGGGAAAGAGAGAGGGGAAAUUAUAACAAACCAGAUUUUGGUAUAAAAGUAAAAAUAAAUAAAAAUAGUGUGAGAUACUAUUUUCAUUGGAUUUAGAGAAGUAAAACAUAAGUCAGAAAUGACUUGUGCUGAAAUCGGAAUGAAAACAGAAGAUUUAGAAUUUUCUGUUAAAAAGGGACAGAUAAAUUAGCAUAAAAUACAAAGUCUCAGAAAAUUAUGUAAACUGGAGGAUAAGCCAGAAUUAUUUUUAUGAGGCUAGAUUUAAAGUUUCAUGUCAUUCUGACACUCGGAAGGUGGAAAAUAAAAUCCGACAGCUAUCUGAUAAAAAUUACAGUUUGGUACAGCUUUCGGUGACCAAACGGGGUCAAAACUGAAAUAUUAAAACUUUUUUGGACUCGUUAAGUAAAACUGAACAUGACUAUCAAAUUUGAGCUCAAACGGAUGUUCCAGGAGUUCCGGCGAAAGAUAUCAGAUUUCGAACUACCCGAAAGUGAAUAGUGUUUUGGGGUGUAAUGUACAAAGAAGCUUUUUGCUUCUUCUUCCUCAGCCGACCACACCACCCCACAACACACGCACGCAUAGGAAGGGAGAGAGAAACUCUCCUUUCUCUCUCUAAAGAUCUCUCUCAUCUCUCCAAAUCUCUCUCUAAAAAUUUGAGGGUUGGUGGAGAGCGAGCUUGCGAACGCGUUGGAGACGUCGGUUCGAGCUCUCGUGCGGCCAUUUGAGCGGCGUGUUUUCGUCGUGGCAUUCACAUAGUGGUAAGCUUUUGGGAUUUGGCUUAAUCCUUAGCUUUAAGUGUUCUAAUAGCCUCUAAUGAGCAUUGUUAGCAUGUUUCUUCAUUUAAUUUGGAUUAUUUGGAGGUUAAUUACAUAUUAGGGCUCCGAAUGGAGUUUUGUAAAAUAGUAGGGUUUGAUCUCAUUUGGCCCUCCGUAAACCAAAUUGCUAGGUAAACGAACGCAUUGGCGAAGUCGGUUCGGCGAUUUGUCGAGCCGUUUUAAAGAUAUUAAAGAAACGGACGUUUAGGCUUCGUUUCCACCUGGAGGGCCGAGGCGACAUCGUAAAAUCAUGAAAACGAAUUUGGAGCACCGUGGCACAUAAUCGAAGACCUAUAAUUUUCGGAGUCGCGGUUCGACUCACGGUUGGUGAGUAUUAGCAAAAUCGGGCCGAACCGGACACGGGUGCCGCAGGAGGCCGAUUGUAAGUGUCGACAAGCAAUCGAAAAGCGAUUUGAGGUGGGUUGUGUUUACCGAAGCGACUAGGUCGCCUGUAUAUCUAAGGCGAGUGUUUAUCAUUGAUGCAUAUUGUGGUAGCUAGUGGUAGAAUGUAUAAAUGCAUGAAAUGAAUGCUAUGUUAGGCUACCAAAUAAUGCAUAUGGUCAUAAUGUGAGAAUGCUAAGUAAUGCAUAAUAACAUAGUAUAAAUAAUGCUAAGUGGAAAGCAUAAAGUAAAUGACAUAUGUUAGUCAUGUUCCAUGUAUAGAAAUGCUAAUGUAAAAAUGCUAAGUGGAUGCAUGUAGUAAAUGCUAAAGAAAAUGCAUGCUAAUGAUGUAAUAUAGAAAUGCUAGAAUGCAUGAUGAUGUAAUAUAAAUAAUGCUAGUUAAAAGCAUGAGAUAAAUGACAUUUGCAUGUUAACAUAAAGUAGAGAACAUGCUAGUUGUAAUGCAUAAUGAUAAGUUGUAAAGAAUGCUAGUUUGAAUAAGCAUGUUAUAUAAAUGCUAGAUAAUGCAUGUUAAUUAUCUAAAGUAAGAUACUAAGAGAUUGCACAUGAAGUGACAUAAUGUUAAUGUUAGAUGAUGCAAGCUAACAUAUAGAGGUUUAUGUUAGUGGAAAUGUGCAUAUGGACAAUCUAUAUACAUUAGAUCGAGUGGCAUUAAACCUAGUGUCUUGAACAUAGGUUGAAUUUGAAUGAUAUGAACUUAGUGUUAGUAAACCUAGGUCGGACAUGAAGGACAUAUGAACCUAGUGUGAAUAUACAUAGGUUGGACAUCAAGUGGCAUUGAACCUAGUGUUAAAGAACAUAGGUUGGAAUCAUGUGUGGCAUUUAAUCUAGCGUUAAAGAACAUAGGUUGGACAUGAACCUACUGUUAAAGAAAGUAGUUAAACAAGGUUUAACCCAAAGUGACAUUGUGGCUUGGUAUUAGCGGUAUAUGCAUGAUUAGGUAAAAACCUAUCAUUGGCAUUGAGGCAUAGAGAUAUGGAACAGGUUGGCUAUACCUCCUCAAAUUGAAGAUGGGAUCGUACUCACAUGUAUUGGUUCCGGCUUGUGCGAGGUCGCUCCUCUACAGGUGGUGUACUCAGGAUUAUAGACACCACAGGUGAGAGUGCCCGGUGAAGAUCUCUCGGGUGACCGUGCCUUGUGCCUUCCCCGGUAGACGGGAUGGAUCCCUUGGGGGCAUUUCCUAAUGCUAAUCCCGGUAGAUGGGACAUGUGAGAUUUGAGCUUGGGGCGAACUUGAUGAACCCCGGAAAGAUUAGGUGAAGGCCAAAGUGAAUGUCUGAAAGUAUACAUUAUGAGCUAUGGAUUUGGUAUUCCAGUUGAGUGGAUUUAUGGCUGAGGUGCAUGUGGGACGUUCUUCACCUCAAGCAUGGAUGCAUGCGGUAUUCUGCAAAUGAUUGACUCGAGACCGAGUCGGGUGGUUAGCUUGGCUAGGGUAGAGGAAACCUUAGGAGCAAAUAACCAAUGAUGUAAAGUGACAAGAUGUAUAAAUUAUGGAAAAGUUAUGGAUAGCAUGAUAGAAAGUAAAAUCAUUUAUUUUACUUGUAUAGUUGCAUGGUUUCAUAUUGCAUAUCGCGAGGCAUGACAUAUAGUUCAAUAUCGAAUAAAUGUUUAAGUAUCUGUUAUAUGUUAUUGGACUAACCUGUUGCAGUGCCUCAUUAGACCUAUUGGUUGAGCUUUCCCUUGGGUGGCCGUACCCACUGGGAGCCAUAGAGUUGGUUCUCACCCCACGUUGUUUUGGGGUGUUACAGGUUCACACGUGAGCGGCACGGCGGCGCGAGGCAAGGGCAUAGCUUCAUAGAUAGCGCCCUACUACCGAGACCAGAGAUAGCGGUACCCUGAGUCGGCUACUUAGGGAUGUAAGAAAAUGAAAGAUAUAAGAUUGCAAUAAUUUGAAAUAAAAGCAUGAUUGUAUUUGGAAGUUAAAUAUAAUAUGUAAUUGUGAUGUAAAAUAUAUCUAGUGAAUGUGAAUGCUUGUAAUAACAAGUAGAUUAUGUUUUUGAUACUUCCUUAUGCAAUCUUUGAUUGAAAUGUGUUCCUGGUUGAAACUUCGUACAUUGUAUUGAUUGCGACGCUUUGGACAUACAGGGAAGACUCUGUCCGCGGUAUAGGGGAAACCCUGUCCGUUCGGCGGUCUGUUGGCGUGCUCGAAACCGACCAAAUAGGCGGGCUCGGGGCGUGACAGAAAUGGCUCUAAAUGCCCUCUAAAGCAACAAAAUCCACUUAGGCCCCCCAAGAAUCAAAAUAGUGCGCUGCCCAAGUCUGAGCAGUUUUCGGGUUGGGGACCGGUCGGUCUCUCCCUCUCAGGGACCGAGAGACCGGUCCCUCAGGGCCCUCCAGAAAAUCCCGCGUACGGGAACCGGUCCCUCGAUCUGGGGACCGGUUGCAUUACGCAACCACCAAAUCCGAGCUACAGGGACCGGUCUCUCCCACCAGGGACCGGUCCCCGAGAGCUAAACUCUCAGGAAUAAGUCCAAAACUCCAGUAUUCGAACUUUUUAGGUCAGAAUUCAGUCUACGACCUUCCACCAAGUGUGGAAAAGCUCGGAAUCCAAGUCAAACACUCGAACCUCGCAACUUGCACAGGUCUAGUUUGUUACAGGUGUGCACGGCGGGUCUGUGCACAUGCCCGGCGGGCUUUCGCUGCAGCCCACGGCGUGACAAGCUAGAUGUGCCCAGAGUUAUCCGUUGAUGAUGUCCAUUACAGUCCGUUGGAUUGGUUUAGUUCUAACCCUACCCUCUUCCAAUAAACAACUAACUUAGACUCUUAUGGUUUAGUUUACUUUACUUUACUUUACUUUACUUUAUUUGGAUAUAUCGGCCUUGAGAUAUCGAAUAUAGUAUUUAUGAUUUUUAUGUGGAUUUAUGGAAAUGGUUUUCUACCCUUCGUGAUUGCGCUUUAUGGAAAAGGUUUCUGUAUGUAAAACGGUUUCAAAAAGGAUUUUUCGUUUUUCAUGAUUCUAGUAUUUCAAAAUGAAUUUUCGGGUGAAAAAUAUUUUAAAUUAAUAGAUGUGGAUUUAUGAAUGAAACAUUAUAAUCUUGUGAUGUGGUAAAUGUAUAUAGUUUUUAUAUGUUUGUGGUUGUACUUGUACUCGUGCGACACCAUGCAAAUAUAUGGGAGAUUCUGUCCGUGUGAACAGUGGAUUUUCUAUAUUUGUGGCGGGUCUGUCAUCCCUUGGAUCAAGGUUUUUUUUUAAAAAAAAUUUAUUGGGCAUUUUUUCGCUGAUUUUACAGACUAAAACGGACCCUGGGGCGUGACAUCAUAUAUCUUCUUAAUUUUCUACUGGUAGUUGCUCCCCGCUUCAAGUCGUUUCGAAAUUUCCAUUGUGACCUAUAAACAAACACCUCAUCUGCAUCACCAAACUGGGAUAUCUAAACUGACACAUCUUUGCCAUCACAUCAACCACAAAAAUCCUAAUUCUCAAACAAUUUGGAUUUACCAAAAAGUUCCUACGACCCUCGAGAAGCAAGCUCCCGCACAACGUCCCCUUGAAGAGGAGGCUCAAGAUGUUGCUCGCCUCGGCCCAAUUGUGGGCGCGCGCGAGCCGCGCAAGGAGGCAGCCGAGGCGGUGGCGGUUCACGGCGAGUAAGGGCUCCGACGCAAAUCGGCCCAGCGAGCACUUAUAUGGGCCGCGACUGAACUUUACAGGACGAUACUUCUUGAAGGAGACAACGUUUUUCGCAUGCUCUUUUUCUUUAUCAUCCUCAUAAUCUUUGUUAACACAAUNCUCAUCUACAUCACCAAACUGCGAUAUCUAAACCGACACAGUCUUGCCAUCACAUCAACCACAGAAAUUCUAAUACUUAAACAAUUUGAUUUACCAAAAAGUUCCUGCGAUUCUUGAGAAGCGAGCUCCCGCGCAACGUCCCCGCGAAGAGGAGGCUAGGACGCCGCUCCCCUCGACCUAGUUGUGGGCGCGCGCGAGCCGCACGAGGAGGUAGCAGAGGCGGCGGCGGUUCACAGCGAGCGGGGGCCCCGGCGCAGACCGGCCCAGCGAGCACUUAUAUGGGUCGUGGCUUGGCUUCGCGGGACAAUGCUUUUCGAAGGAGGCAACGUUCUUCGCAUGCUCCUCUUCUUCUUCUUCUUCUUCUUCUUCUUCAUCGUCCUCAUCAUUUUCGUUAACACAAUGAGAGAGAGUGGGAGCUGAGUGUGGGGUGGGAGAUUAGAUGAUGAUGUUCUUUUAUACAUAGAAAAUAACAGGCCAUGCAAAAGAAAAGGAGCAUGGGAAUUAAUGGAGGUGGGGAGUGGAUUAGAGUUACAACGCCCACUUAUUGGUGGAAUAUGGUGCAUGUAAUUAAAAGACUGGGGAGGUGAAAGGUUGGGCAUUGAGAAGAGGUUUGAGAGAGAAAAAAGGACCAAUAUUGAAGAGAAAAAAUAACGAACGUAUACAUUGAUUACAGGUCAUUGAGUAGAGAGGAUAGGAGGAAAAAGUCAAGAGCUAAUGUCAGUUUAAAAAAAGGGUUGAAAGAAAACUUGCUACGUGGCAAAAACAGUAGAAAUUCAUAUUCGUUAAUAGAUAACUGUAUUUGCAAAUUUAUUUGUUUAUAUAUAUGUUUGUGGGAUUGCCUCUAAUGUAGAAAUAAUUAACUUAUUAUUUGUGUAAAGGGUGAUUAUAAUUAAGUAUGCUUGUCUAUUACUAUACAUAUUCUUUUUAAUUGGUGCAUGUAGAAUUGAUGUGGUCAAUUUGAACAUAGAUCCAAAUGCAUGAUCUUUCUUUUGUAAUUCCAACCACAACAAUUAGAUUUAAAUGUACCAAAUCAAACAUCGCAUUUAAAUUUGCAUGUAGUUAAAAUUGUAGAACAUUACACAUGCGCAAACAAAUAAACUCUACCUUGGGUUAGUUUGAUGAUAUCUAUUUAUAGGAUAAUAUAAAAUAAAAUAAAUAUCUAAUUAUUUUAAUAAUAUCUAAUAAUUUUUUUAAAUUGUAUUUACAAAUUGUGUAAGUGAUAUAAACAUUAUCAUUAAGUGAGGAAGAAAUGUAAUUAUUAAUUUCAUACUCAAACAACAUUUUUUUAUGGCCAAUUUGCAAAAAUAAUCCACUAGUUUUGCAAUAUUACAAAAGUUGACCACUAUUUUGAAUUUUACAAAUUCGGGUUGGAUUUUCGACAAACUAAUCAAAAUACCCUUGUCGCUUUCUCUCUCUUCUUUUUUUUCUUCAUUCAUUUUUUUUCUCAUUGCCUCCUCCAUCGUCUCCACGGCCCUUGGCGACGGUAACGAGGGGGACGCCACCUUCUCUUUCUUUAUCUCCUUCUCUGUCGGUGCUAGCAGCCCUCGGUGACGGUUACGAGGGCGGCGCCGCCUCUGCUUCCAUUGACACCAGAGAAGGAGAAGUAGAAGGAGAACUCGAUGUGGGCCUAGAUGAGGGCGGAGUGGACGGAGGCUAUGAGGUCGUUGCUGAGAAAGUGCUCACCUCCCAUGACGGUGAGGAAAAGACACACCCAUCUCCAAAAAGUGAACAAAGAUGUAAAGGGUAGAAGAAAAUAAGAAUAAAAAGUAAAAAAAACAAAGAAAAAAUUUUUUCUCUUUGAAAGACGACUAUAUAUCGUUGCUGCUACCGAAAAGUCUAAAAAUCAGAGAAAAAUGAAGAAGAAGAUAUUGCAUUGUCAAAAUAAAAUUGCACUGUCUUAAAAGAAAAUUACACUGUUUAAUACGAAUGUUAUACUAUUCGAGGUGAAAAUUACACUCUUUGAAAUAGAAGUUGCACUCUUUCAACAAAAAUUAUACUAUUUCAAAAAAAAUUGCACUAUUCUCGAACCCUCGUCGUCUUUUUUUCUUCUUUUUCUUCCUCUUCUCUUCACCCCCUUCUUUCCUUCCCUUCCUGCUCUCUUUCUUACCAAGGCGAACCUCUUUACCUCGCGGGCCGCAGAGUGCCGAAGCAUAAAAACGACCUUAUCACCUUCGUUCGCUCUGCUCUUUCUUGGGCCGGCCCCGAUUUCUCCUUCUCCUUCUCCUCCUCCGGCAUCGACAGAGGUAGAGGCAGAGGCGGAGGAAGAGGAGACGGCACCACCCUCGUUACGAUCACCAAGGGUCACCGGCACCAGCGGAAGAGAAGAUGAAAGAAGAGGAGGUGGCGCUGCCCUCGUUACCAACGUCGAGGGCCGCAGAGGAGGUGAAGGAGGUGAUGAAGGUCAGAAAGAGAAAAAAGAACGAAGAAAAAAAGAAGAAGAAGAGAGAGGUAGGUUGUUUUUGUGUUUCGGUACUCCGAUGUGGCAUAAAGUGUAGGGAGGCUCGCGUUGGUGAGGAUGGGGGUCGAAAAGGGAGGGGGAGAAGGAGGAGAUGGUCAAGGGAAGAGGAAGAAGAAUAAGAAGAUGAGGGAUGAGGGUCAAAGAAUAGUGCAAUUUUCUCUAAAAUAGUGUAAUUUUUAUCGUAAUAGUACAACUUUUAUUUCAAAGAGUGUAAUUUUUAUCUCAAAGAGUGCAACGUUCAUAUUAAACAGUGCAAUUUUCUUGUAAAGUAGUUUAAUUUUAUUUUAACAGUGUAACCUUUAUCUUCUUUUUUAUUUUCUCUAGGUCUUAGACAUUUCGUAGCAGCAACGAUAUAUGAUGGUCUUUUAAAGAGAAAUUUUUUUAUUUUUUUACUUUUUAUUCUUUUUUUUCCUACCCUUUGCAUCUUUGUUCUCUUCUUGGAGAUGGGCACAUCUUUUUUUCUCACCCUCACAGGCAGCGAGCACCUCCUCGGCAACAGCCUCAUCACCUCCGUCUGCUCCGUCUUCACUCGAGCGCGCUCUGAGUUCUCCUUCUCUUUCUCCGGCGCUGGUGGAGGACAAGGAGGUAGCACCGUCCUCGUUAUCGUCGCCGAGAGUCGCCAGCGCCGGCGGAGGAGGAGAUAGAGGAAGAACAUGUGGCAUUGCCCUCGUUACUGUUGCCGAUGGCCGCGGAGGCAGUAGAGGAGGCGAUGAGGGUUCGAGAGAAGAAAAGAACGAAUGAAAAAAAAAGAAGAGAGAGAGAAAGGAAUAAGGAUAUUUUGGUCAGCUUGUUGAAAAUCUGACCUGAAUUUGCAAAACCCAAAGUAGUUGCCCACUUUUGCAAAAUCGCAAAACUAGUGGAUUUUUUAUGCAAAUUGGCCAAUUUUUUUUUAUCUAUUUUGAUUGUUCUAAUAUACAAAUUCUAUAAUAAUUAAAGCAUACUUUAUAUAUUUAUGAUAUAUAUUGGUGUAGUUCUUACAUGCACCCAUUAGACCGUGCAUUACUCUUAGAUUUUAGUUAUAGAGAAUCUAAAAUUAGAAUUCAAUUUGUUGAUAGAUCUAGUGAUGCUUGAAAAGCUUAUAUAUUACAAAUUAUGUAUUUUUGACAUAUUAUUAAAUAAAAAAUUACAGUUCUCUAAUCUAAUAUAUAUAAUAUAUUAGAUCUUGACAAACGGGCAAGGUUGCAGCUUGAGUUGUUGGUCAGUAUGUUUGGAGAGUGCUGAAUUGAGUUGAAGCCAUUUUGGCACAAAAUGAAUAUGAAAAUAGACUUAAAAUUGAAAAUCAGCUCAAUUUGUGUUUUGUACAUUCUGGAUGCGUGGAUGUUAUUUAGGGCACCUGAAAGUUGCGAUUGAGGAAUUGAGGUUUCGAACCUCAGUUGCAGAUGCUCGGAUGUAUCGUUUGAGGACUGGAUGUACUAUAGCCACGUUUCGGAUGCUCGAUUGUCAUUGUAACGGUAUGAGAGUGGGUGAGAGUAAUGUGAACACAGCAGUGCGCACGUGGCAGUAAGAGUGACUCAACAGGGAAUUUCGGCAUAGGGUCCGGGUGCCAAAAUGUUUUUAGGCAUUGCUAUGAUUGAAUUGGAUGGAAGUCCGGGUGCUCGAGUUGGUUUCGGGCAAAGGUUUGAUAGCUUUAGGCGCAUCAUUGCAUUUGGAGGGCACCCAAAUGUUUGUGGAUGUGAUGGUUUCAGAUCUAUGAAUGUUGGCACUAGGCACCUGAAUCCUGGCUUUUGAGAUGAGGUGCAUUUGUUGGAGAUGCCGAGGGCUUUUUAGCUUCUCUCUUUUUAGCCUAUAUAUAGACCCAAGGGUAUUUGGCUGUCAUUCUUUACACACUUUGAUUCUACUGAGUCUUUUUCUUCUUCUUCCUCCUCUUUUCCCUGCCAUCGUUGGAGCCUAUUAAACAGAGAGCCCAGGAGUUGACCUUUCCCUUCGUUGGUAGCCAGUUAGAAAUGAGAGGCUUGGGUAGCUAAGAAAGAGAGUGCUCAAAGGAAGGGAGUUUGGGGUGUUCAUCCUUACAUCAGCGCUAGAGGUAGGUGAUCGAUUUGUUUGUUAUAUUAAUUGAGGAUUGUCAACUAGGAUUUUAGUCGACAUAGAUUUUUGUUGCGAGUUUUUGUACUCGAUUUCUAGGAAUUGGGUUUGAGUUAUUUCUUGUUGUUUUUCUAGGUGAUGUGAGGAGUGGAGUGUUGCGCAUGGGUCUCCUUUCCUUCCCUUUCCUUGGAGUAACAAUCUUGGUGGGUUUUACGUCACCAAAAAUGGCGGACUUUUUAUUGUCUAUUUCUUGCAUAAUUAGUUAUCUACAGAUUUUUGUGGUUGAGACUGCAUGUAGUCUAGAUGCCUUUAUGAUAAUGCGAGUUGCGUGCUAUCAGAGAUAUGAUAAUCUACUUGAUGAUUUAUGUAUACGCAUGCGAGUUGUAAUAGGGGCCGCGUUCAGUGCGGCGGUAUUGGACAAUUAUUAGAUAGUGAGAGUUAUGCUAUUGUGCCGAUGUAAUAUUUGAAGAUUCUGUUUAUAGGCGAAUUCAAAUUUUGAAUUUGAAUUGCAUUUCAUUCCUCUCUCCCCAUUUGGGAAUCUCUCUGCUCAGUCUCUUCCGGCCUUCACGCCUCUCGGCUCGCACCUGCCCGGUUCUCUCCCUCUUCUAUAUAUAAUAAAUAAUAUAAUUAUAUACUAAUAUUUGUGUGGCGUGUAUAUAUAUAUGUUGUGAUUUUUUGGUGAAGACGGAGAGAGUUGGAAUUACGUCACACAUUUGCGAUCAAUAAGGGAAACAAAUUCGUGCUAUUUCAUGUAUAUCAGCAAUGUCGGAAAGCGUUGCGGUAUAGUCGAUUCGCAAAUCUGAACUGACGGAUCCCAUAAUCAGCGUCUGAAUUAUUGAGAAGGGCCGAUUUUGCAAGAUAUGUUUUUCGCAAAAAGUCCCAAUAUUUCAUGGUAUUCCGAAUUGCACGGGAUCGCUCAUGGAGGUGCAUUCUUCAUUUUACAACGUGCCUGUGGGGCUCAGUUAGUAAUUCUGUAGAAUAGGCGAAGUUUUGCGGCAAUUGAUGAAGGUAGAGAUAGUAGGAAUUAGGGUUUUCUUCUCCCCAACCCUACCGCUAAACCUACUUGCACAUACCCGAGCCCCAACUACCUCCCCCCCUCAUCUGCUAACUAAGUGCACGUGUCACGCCCAGGGUACCAGCGGAAGCAUAUCCGGUACGUGCACAGACCCGGCCUACACCUGCAGUAUAUAAGGCGUACUACAAAGAAAGCGAAGUCGAUCAUGGAAAAUACACAAAGACAGUCCUUAAUGCACUGAUAGUCAGAAGCAACUGUACAAGUUCGAUAUACUAUCAGUAAAAAACAAAAGAUGUACAAUCGCAAAAUCCAUCGUCUAGAGAGCCAACAGUAGCACAACAGUAACAUCGGGAUCAACAGUAAUUAAUAUCACGGAGUAAUACCAAAAGUAGAUACAAUGGUGUCUCUCUAUACAAAGGACAAUCCCGUCGGCCGUAGCACCGAGUAGCAGGUGAUCGACUAGCACCGCUCCUAGCAAAGUCUAGCUAAGAACGCGACUCCCUUGCCAACGAUCCCUAGCCUCUACUGCGCAGAUAGCUCUGUAGAAAACAAUCACCAAAAGGGCGUGAGAAACUAUUAAACUAAUAGUUCCCAAAGUGGUAACCGCCAGCCUCGCGAAAUUACUACCACUGAGGCUCAUUGAUGUACUGAAAGUAAAGUAAACGAUAAGUGCAAGAUAUAAAAAUAUGCAGUGUCUAAACUCAAUAACAGGCAAUGUAUUCAACUGUAAAACAUGAUUUCUGGCAGUAAUGAUCAACUGAAAAUAGAAGUUAUCGCAACUACUAUAACAUACAUAAACACUACAUCAUAGAAGUGUAAAGUACACUGUACACUACAACUAAUAGUCUCAAUUCAUUAACUACAUUCAUGUUUUCACGUUUCAUUCUCAUCACGAAGUAGGCUCUACUGCAAAUGGGCCCUAGUCGCCCACGAAAAAUGUCGUUAGGACCUCAAGGUGCCAGCUGCCCGCGCUAAUGGCCCCGUGGUAGUAUAACACUCGUCCGCACGGCAAUCCACUUCGGCACCGCAUUCGCAUGGCAGAGCAUCUGUCGCGUAGGCGAACUCACGGAGGCCGGCUUGUAGGGAAGCUACCCCACAACGUUGUGCGAAUAGCACUGAUGCAAGCAAGCAAAGUCCAUUGUCCACAUGUCCAAGUUUCAUAUUUUCAUGUUGAAAGUUCUUUAUCCUGUCGCCUCUGAUCGAAUUUCAAUACAACAAAUAGUAACAAGAGCUACGUAUCCUACUAGAUUGUAAAGACAAGUAAGUAAGCUAAAAUCACAUGGCAUUAUCAACAUAGUCAUGCACAUGUCAUAGCUCCUACGUGUAGAUCAAGAGAAUGCUCAUUGUUCUCGUACUUUAAAGUGCAUCCUACACUUGCUUCAAUAAGUCAUUCAAACAUGUAUUUGAAUCUCGUACUUUAUAGAGAUUUCAUUCACUUACAUCAAAACUCACUCGAUGAUAUUUUUCAAAUUCUCUAUUCAAUCAGCGAUAUGGCACUCAAUGCACCUAUGCAAUCAUCUAUUCUAUAGAUACAUAUAAGACAUGAGGGGAGCUCACUUGCUCUGGUUAGUCGACCAACCUCAUACUAAUGUCCAAUGCAAUUCAAAGGGAAGUCAAUCAGCUCCCAAGGUCUCAAUUUCUGCUCGAACACGAAGCCAUAAAUAUUGUAUCAAAAGUACGAUCAAAUGGCCAAUUUCGGCGCAAUCCGCACUAGCUAAACAUGUAAAGUUGAAAUCCCUGUUUUGGGCUUUUCGUUUGUAGAUUAACCUCAAAGUGUAACUAAUUCCUCCACAAGUCAGUCGAAGACAAUCCAAGGCUCGUCGGCAAUCUCGCGGCGAACAAUACCGAAACGGAGCGUCAAAAAGUAUGUAAACAAGUUAAUUUAGAAACCGAAAUCUCGCGAAUCAGAGUUUUCUAACUGAAAUUUCGAAUUACCCUGUGUUAGAAUAUCCUCCAAACCAGCUUCCAAAGUACAAUUGCAGCCCAAAUAGGCUCAAGGAUCCGCUGCGAAGAGAUCAUCACAAGAACAACGUCAUAACGCCGUUUAAUUCAAUAAUUUUCUUCAUAACGAACUAAUUAUCUCUCUACUUAAGCUUCCAAGGAGGCUUAUCCUUGGUCAAGAACGUUAAUUCACAAAUACUAAUUAACUAUCUUAAUUGCUGAAUUCCUCAAUGUUACAUUCAAUGUGGACAGCAAAAACCAUAAAGCAAUACUCAACAUCGCUAAUAGAACGUCGAUAACGGAAAAACUUGAGUCACAUACCAUUCUCAGUCCACAAGACCCGAUCCAAGCUGCAGAGUUGAACAGAUAGCUGCGAAAAGCUCUGCCAAAAUACUCCUCAUACACCACGUACCCUGACACAUGAAGCGAAUAACCACUACCGUUGGACGAAAGAAACGAUCGAAAUCGGCUGAAUUCUUGUAGAGAGAGAAAAACCUAGAGAGAGAGAUGGGAGAAGGUGGAGGAAGCUGCCUCCUGCACUCUAGCACACUCCACUGACAGUCCCAGAUCGCUGGGAUCAAAUAAGGUAGGUAUCGUCAAAUGUGAAAGAAGCCAAAAUAGCCUGCUGCUAGAUUCUGGCCAGUCUGUACCGAGAUAUGGCUGUACCGGUACACAACGAAAGCAGAAAAGGCUGAUUUACUUUGUUUGAUGACAAAUUUCUCACUUUUAACCUCUCCUAAUACACUCUCUAUCGGUUGCUCAAAAUCUUGUCAAANNNNNNNNNNNNNNNNNNNNNNNNNCUCAGGUCUGAUCCUUAACUGGUGAUAUCCCGACUGCAAGUCGAUCUUGGAAUAUACACAAGAUCCCUGGAGCUGGUCAAAUAGAUCAUCAAUCCUCGGUAAUGGAUACUUGUUUUUGAUCGUGACUUUGUUAAGUUCAUGAUAGUCCACACACAAACAAAGCGAUCCAUCCUUCUUCUUGACGAAUAGGACCGGUGCUCCCCAAGGUGACACACUCGGUCGCACGAAACCCUUGUCCAAAAUAUCUUGCAACUGUGCCUUCAGCUCCGUCAAUUCCGCUGGUGCCAUCCUGUAGGGUGCCUUUGAGAUUGGAGUAGUCCCGGGAAGGAGAUCUACCACAAACUCAAUCUCCCUGUCAGGUGGCAUGCCUGGAAGCUCCGCUGGAAACACAUCUCCAAAUUCCCACACUACGGGAAUAUCCUCAAUCCUAGGGGCGUCAUCCUCACCCCGCAACACAACAGUAGCCAAGUAGGCUAUGGAGCCUCUACUAAUCAACUGCCUAGCUCGAGAGGAGCUAAUAGUCAUCGCAAACAGCGAACUCUGGCAUCCUCGGUACACAACCUCCGCCUGCCCCGGCUCUCUAAAUGUCACUGUUCGAUCCUUACAAUCGAUAGUGGCGUAGUACUUAGUCAACCAAUCCAUGCCCAACACAACAUCAAACUCCCCGAGUUUAUGCAAGACUAGCAAGUCCACGGGCAUGAUCCAAUCGCCAACCCGAACAGGGCAACUGGGGCAAAACUCCCGAAUAUCUAAAAUAUGAUCGGGUACAACAACUCGUCCAGGAUGCAACAAGGAUACAAGUGGGAUGCCACGCAACUCGGCAAACAGCCGGUUUAUGAAUAAAUGCGAUGCACCGGUAUCAAACAAAGCUCUAUCCUGAAUACCAUAAAGUAAAAUGAUACCUGCGACCACAUUCUCGGCUGCCGCCACCUCCUCAGUCUGGGCCGCAUACAUGCGCCCGCUCGGGUCCUGUCGUGACCCCUCCGCCUACCGCUGAACUGGCGGCCGUCCUGCCUAGUGAUGCGCAGAAGAUGCCCCUGGCUAGGACCUGGCGAUGCUGGUGCAGAUGCCGAAGAUGGCACUGGCGCUGAACCUCUCGGGCAGUCCGACUGAAAGUGGCCCUCCUGGCCACACAGGAAGCACCUGCCCCGGCUGCGUGAACACUGUCGCGGGUAAUGGGGACCACCACAGAUCACGCAGCGGGGAUCCUGGCGACGGUCGGGUCCUCCUCGCUAAAUAGAUGCGCCACGACCUCGCGACUGGCUCCGGCUCUUAGGGUGCCUCGGCGGCCUCCGUGAGUGCGUCUGACUCGCACCCUCAGCCGCGGACCUCUUCCCCUUGUCCUUGUCUAGGGCCUCACGUUGCUCCUGAAGGUCUGCCGCUCCAGCCUCCACAAUGAGUGCACGGUCCACAACCUCCCGGUAGGUUUGGAGGUUAGAGGACUGCACCAACCGAAAGAUUGAAGGCCGCAAUCCACGCUCGAAAAUGCGGGCCUUGUCCUCGUCAUCCCGCACCACAAAAGGCACACAGUGAAGUAGCCGGAAAAACUCCCUCUCGUACUCGGCCACUGACCGCUCGUUCUUGCACAAGCUGCUCAAAUCCUGCUCCAUUUUCCUCUUUGCACUGGUCGGGAAGUAGUGCGCUAGAAGCAGCUCCUUGAACCUCGCCCAGGAAAUCGCUGUCAAGUCGGUGUUGGGGUUGUCCUGGAUGUCCAACCACCAACGAUAGGCCUUGCCGUCCAGAAAGUGAGUGGCGAGCCACACUCUAUCCCGCUCCUCUACAAAGGUAUCUCGAAACAGCUUCUCCAUGUGCAUCAACCACUUCUCAACAAUCCAGUGGUCGACGUUCUCGCCAUCAAACGUCCUCUGGCUGCACCUCCUGAACUCACUGAGGCGAUCCAUGAGCCGAUCCCGCUCGGCUCCCUCAGCCAUCACGGGGAAUGCCGCCCUUGUCGCUGGUCUCUGAACCGGUAGUGCCGGAGCCACCUCCUCCCGAGGUGCGGUCGUCGGUGCCGCACGUGAAGAACUGGGCGCAGGGGACUGCGCCCUCAGUGCGACGUCCACCACGGGUGCUGGCGGUGUGGGACCCUGGGUCUCUCUCGAAGCUGCUGCCUGCUGAAGUAGGAGGUCCUCAAGAUGCUUCAUCCGCGCAUCCUGCCGCUGAGCCACCUCAGCCUGUCACUGCGCCGCUGCCGUCUGCUGCGCCAACAGAUCGGUGAGAACCGCAAGCUGGGCCCUCAAGUCACGGACUUCACUAGAUUCGGAAGUAGCGGAGGUCUCGGCCUCCUCGGGGUGUGCCGCAUCAUCCGCCCCAGCAGACUGGGAGCGUGUAACCGGCAUGGUCACUACAAAACAUAAAAGCGCAGGUUAGUAACCCACGCUAUCACAUCCCUGCUCAAAACGAUAAAACCCAAAUCAUGCGAAAGUAAGGAAGUGUCCUCCACUACUAACUCCCGAUGUUACGUUGUCGGCCGCCAACGUAACCCUCCGCGAAGUUAGAAGCCAUACACUCCGAUCAACUCUAACUUUUUAGAGUUAUCAUAUAUCCAAUUGUAAUACUUUCGCUCACAAGUCAAUUAGACCUCGUCUCUCACGAGCCUAACUCCUAUGGUCCAACCGGCCUAAGGUUUGCUAGGUUCACUAAGACUCAACCCUAGGCUCUGAUACCAAACUAAUCUGUCACGCCCCGGGACCGGCAAAUGCCUUCCCGAUAGCGUGCCCAGACCCGCCAUAUGUCAACACAUAUAAGGCGUCUACAUCAACAGCGGAAAUAAAACAAGAAACAGGACAAAUAGGAUAAUAACAACUAAUGAUAUCAGAGCGAGUAAAGUUCUAUCAUCUAAACCAGAGUAAAAGAAACAUAACUAGACAAUGAAAGUAAAGUACAAAGUGAUACAAUACUAUCUCCUCAAAAGGAAUACAAAGAUCCAAAAGAAGGGUGGUCUCUAUACAUAUACGGGUACAACUCACAACCUCUCACAAAAUAAAACCACGAGAGGUAGACCACUUAUCAUAUCGCCCUCGAAGGAACCUAGCUCGAAGCAACUCCCUUCCCUCGGUCCCUAGCCUCUCCCGGCGUGGAAGACUCUGAAAGAAAACAUAAAACAGAGGGCGUGAAAACUAUAAUUUAUAUAAAACAGUGGGCAAUUACUGACCUCAGCUCAAUGCACCACUAGGCCUCAAAAGGAAAGGGUAAGUCCAAAGCAAUAGUAAAAACGAGUAAUUUGCAUUUAUGAAAGCAUAAUGAAAAUGCUAAACUACUACUUGCAAUUAAACAUGGCAUUUAUGUAAUGCACAAUUAUCUUGUCAUGAAGGAUAUGUCUCUACUUAGCCAUAAAUAAUGUCAUGGUUUGCUGAAUGAAAUUAUGAGGAUUAUCCUUUAUCAUAGCAAUAUUGUAUAUAUGAAUGCAAAUAAGCAAUGUCUCCUAGCAUACUACAUGUAUGUAUGUAUACCCAAAUGUCUAAAUCUAUGCUAGAAGCAAGUUCGAGUAAUCCAACUACUACUCUCUAUCUAGUAGUGAUUAUAACAUACUCAUCCCGUGUCGAUUUUCAUUUCCAAUUAAGGACCUACCUAAGGUAGUCCAGUUUGUGCCGCGUAAGUACCUGUGGUAGCCCAACAUCCCUACUCUUGGAAUGUGUCUGUCCCACUCGACCCCGUAGGUUUCUCAAUACCGCACGAGCGAACAUAGUCGCGUAGGGUGACUCCGGAGUGCCGGCUUGUAGGGAGCGACCCUCACAAGCAUGUGCGAAUGAGCACAAAUGGCAAACAAGCAAGGUCAAUAUCUCAAAUAUCCAAUCAUCAUGUCUCUAACAUGGCAAUAAUCACUAGCAUCUCGAAGAUCUAGUUCUAUGUCACAAUGUGAAAUUCUCAUAUUUACUAAGUCUAGUGCCCCUUUAUGACACUUAGACGUUUCGAUGUACAAGCAUGAUCCAAUUCUCUCAAUGGCACUAUCCACUAGGUUCGCACAUGACCGAGCUCAAUGCCCCUUUAUGAUAUUAGCCCAAUUAUUCACAAGUAGUACAAGUCCCCAAGCCUCUUUAUGGCUUACUAAGGUUCUGAUGUCACGAUUAGGCAUAAAGGUUAAAUGCAUAAUAGCAAUGUCCAAUUUCAUAAUGGGAAUCAUAGUUCCAAAUCUCAACUAGGAUGCUAUAUCUCACAUGCAUGCACUCUACCACAUAGAGGUCCAAAAAUUUACUAUACAUUACAUAUGCAUGUUAAGCAUUCAAAAAUUCAUAAUAAAUGUAUCUAACAUGAUUAUGCAUGCUUUUGCAUUUUACAACACUUAAAACAUCAACAAUGAGAUUUUCUCAUUGUGUGGCUAGGUCAAACCCACCGAACCGUCGCGUGCUCCUUCGAUUCGCCGAACGGGGUUGUCCACGAGUCUCAAAAUACCCUAAAAGUGAUGAGCGAAGAGAUACACAAGCGUUACGAGCAACUCUAGGCUCAAACUUUAACCAUCUCAAGAAUAGGGUCAAAAACUCACCUCUAGUGUAAAAUCUCUUCCUAAGCUCCAAAAGAGAGCUAAAUCCCUUCCAAUCGAACCCAAAGGAAGGAUCUAAUCCAAGUGAUCAAGCUCCAAAAGCCCUAGGUCCAAAAUACCCAAAAUAAACCAUAAAAUCCCAAUCUAGGGUUCCAUAUGGUAAAACCUACCAAAACAAGGAUCAAAGGUUAGAAUCAAGGUACUAACCUCUCAAGGUGCCUCCAAACAAGCUCCAAAUCUUCUAAAGUUGAAGAUUGGUCCACCACCAAGCCCUACAAGCAAGCUCCAAGCCUUGCAAGGGUGGAAAAGAGAAAAAGGGGGUUGAGUUCCAAGCUUCCUCAAGCAAGCUCCUCUUCCUCUUCUUCUCCUCUUUCUUCUUCUUCUCUCUCUAGAAAGUAUGGGGAGAGGGUGAGAAUGUGGAAAUGAGGAAGGAAAGAGGGUGGAAUGGCUAAUAAGCCCAUCUAGUGUAACAAAAUCCAGUGAGGCCCCUGAAAAAAACCAAUAUUACAUCAGCCCGGUCUGGGCAGUUUUCGCCCAGAGGGACCGGUCUCUCCCCAACAGGGACCGGUCUCUCGCUGCGAACCCGAAAAACCAACGUUCAGGAACCGGUCUCUCCUCGCGCGGGACCGGUCUCUCACUGCGAGGACGCGUUCGGGGACCGGUCUCGCCCGCCAGGGACCGGUUGCCUCAGGGCUGCCACAACACUGCUCACUGGGGGACCGGUCUCUCCUUUCAGGAACCGGUCCCCGAGAGUGAAAACUCUUAGGACUCAUCCAGAAUUCAGGUUUUCGAACUUUUUGGAUCGGAAAACAUUCUACGACCCUCCACCAAGUGUGGAAAAGCUCGAAACACAUCCAAUCACUCGAACCUCACAAUUUGCAAAGGUCCAGUGUGUUACAACUAUACAAUCAAUUAGUAGAUCAACUGAUACUACUUUCGAUCCUACUAUCCAUAGCUCACAUCAUCUAGCUUCUAAGGUUUCUACUACCUUAGUCUUAUAGCUUAUGUCCAACUAGCUUCUAAGGUUUCUACUACCUUAGAUCCAUACUAUAUUCAUCCAGCUUCUAAGGUUUCUACCACCUUAGAUCUUGCCAUUUACCACUUGCUUUUAAGGUUUCUACCACCUUAACCAAGCUAUUCACCCGACUCGGCCUUGAGUCAAUCCUACGCGGAAUAUCACGCACUCGGCUGCUACCACAGCCCACCGCGCUCCUUGACUUAGCCACCUGGCAGCGAAACCGUCGCACACGCCGAACAAUGGCUCAAGUCAACCGGCGGCAUAAUCCACAAACCAGCUUAACCAUCUGGCGGCGAAAUCGUCGCACACGCCGAACAAUGGUUCAAGCCUCUGGGUGGUGACUCAUCGCACACACCCCCUUCCCUUGCUAUCAAUCUCGGCGGCGAAAUCAUCGCACAUGCCCUAGCCUUGAUACCAAGGUCACCACAAGUUCUGGGAUUCCGGAAUUCACUUUCCACAUCUCAAUGGGUCAUCUGCGAACCCUAUAAUGUCGAACUAUCUAGGUUCGACCCAUGCACAUCCUAGUGGCUGCUACAACUAUAGUCCACAACUUAGGUUCAACCACGCUAGGUUCCAUGUCAUCUCUACCUAGAUCUCGACUUCUAGGUUCACUUGUUCAAUCUAUGUUCCAUGACACUAGGUUCAAUGCCACUCGAUCUAUUUGACAUCCUACUUGUCCAAUCUAUGUUACAUGAAUUUAGCACAGGCUACAACCUGUCAACAUGCAUAUAUAAUCUAGCAUGAUCCACAAUAUGUGUAAUAUACCGAAAUUCGGUAGGUUAUAUCAGACUUUAGUCAAAUUGACUAAAGUAUGUCGAGAGAAAUAGUUGGACAAAGUCCAUUUGACGUUCCAACAAUGUUGGAAGAGUUAAAGUUUAGUUCCAAGUGUGAUGGAAGAGUUUUAGCAUUGCUUAGCGCGAGAUGGAGCAUGAGCUCUGCCAAAAUUGAGGUCUGGGCACUGUGUACCGGUACUGGGGAAGUGGUACUGGUACCAGGCCAGCCACCCGAGAAGGCAGCUCCUCGGGUUUGGUCACUGCGCUACGGCGUACCGGUGACGGCCCUGAUGCGUACCGGUACCCCGCAGCCACCCUAGAACAGCAGCUCUCGAGUUUGGGCUGUUGAACAGGGGUGUACCGGUGAUGCCCACCUGCGUACCGGUACCCUGCAAUGCGAAGAGCAGGUUGCAGUCUGCUGCAAAUAAGAAAAGUUGGAGGGUUUGUUUGCAAUUAUAGCAGCUUAUAACCCCCCCACCUUCUCCUCUCUCGUCUAUAGCCAAAGGAACUCUAAGGAACUCUCUCUUUCUCUAAGAAGUCUCUCUCUCUCUCUUAGAGGUGGAUCAAAAGGUGGAUUUGGAGGAGAAGAAGGCUAGAAGGUAAAGCAACUUCUUCUUCUUCUUCCUUUGCUCAAGGAUAGGAUUGCUUUAGAGGUAAGCUCCAUGAGCUCUCAUGGUAGAUGCCUAGGAUUUGGUUCAAAUGCCCUAAGAAUGGUUUUGGUUGGAUCUUUAGAUGAUAUUAAGUUUGUUUUUGCUUAUUUCCAAGAUCCAUUUGGUGCUUAUGAUACAUGGCAUUGUUAGGGCACCAAAAUUAGGGCUUUUGUCAUAGAUGGAGUUUAAAUAUAAAUUAACCUUAUAGAAACCUAAUUGAAGGUAUUUCCGACGCGUUUGUGGACUCAGUUCAAAGAUCCAACAAGUCUACGCAUAGGAAUUGAAAAAAAAGCUUAUUUUGGCUUCGUUUUGCCGCAGUCGACAGAAUAGGCGGCUAAAAAUUACAAAAAUCGAACCGUAGCACCUUAGAAACCAUACGAGGUGGGUGGUGCAUUUCAAAAGCCUCGGAUUUUCUUUUAUGUCUAAAAUGUUAUUUCUUGAACAUAUGUGUAUAUUGAGCUUCACGCAUUGUAGGGUGAUUGAGAGCUAGUUGUUGCAUGUUGUGAGUACAAAUGCAUGUGAGAUGAUUUUAAACUAAUGAGCACUUGUAAAACCCUAUGUAUGCAUGAAUAAUGAUAAGAACCUAGAAAAAGCAAAGAAUCUAGUGACAUUGAGAACAAAUGACAUUAUGACAUCAAUAGUAGAGUGGCAUCAAUGAGUUUUGAAUGCUAGUGUUACAAGAGUGGCAUUAAUGGGUCAAGAAUGCUAGUGUACAAGUGUGACAUUAAUGAGAACAAUAAAUAGAUGAGAUUGAGUAUAAAGAACAUGUAGUGUAUGUGACACUAAUGAGAGUUAAAGUGUCACGCCCCGGGACCCAGUGGAAGCUUGCCCGGCGCGUGUCCAGACCCGCCAUACGUCUGCAACAUAUAAGGCGUCUACAACAAAAAGAUAAAUAAAGCAAUAAUAUAUAAAGAUCUAGAGAUAUCAGAGCAUACAACAUCUAGAUUCUAGGAUAAGAAGGUAAACAAGAGCUAAAAUCCACUAAGAAAGAACCAUAAAGUGAUACAAUAGGAAACCAAAAUACAAGUGCUAAAAGUAUAACAAUGGCAAUCUCUAUACAUGGUAGCAAACUCUCCCUCACAACAAAAUACAAAAAGAGGGAACCAUCUAAAGCAAAAAGCGAGCUCCACGCUAUCUAGUUAGCGAUCCCCUUGCCACAGUCCCGUGCCUCCACCGGUGUAGAGAGCUCUGAAAGAAAACCAUAAAAUAGGGGCGUGAGAACUAUUAGAUAAUAGUUCCCAGUGGGCAAUUACUGACUUAAGUGAAAAGCACCACUAGGCCCAAAACCAAAGGAUGUAAGUGAAAUAUAUAAAAGAUAUGAACAACAAGUAUGUAAACAUGAAUAACUUGCUAAACCUUUAAGUCUCUACUUAGCAUGAAUUUGCAUAAGUAUAAAUGCUAUUCUAUCAUGAGUAUGCAUGAGUAUAAAUCACAUAAUGUCCACGAUGCAAUUAGUAAACUGUUAUUGUUUACUAACUAGUAAAUGUCAUUGUUUACUAACUUGUCUAAUUGUCCAAUUUACAUUUUGGUUCCACUUGUUCCAAGUCACAUAGGACCUACCCGUGGGUAGUCUGACUUGCGCCGUGCCUAAUGGCCCUGUGGUAGUCAACAUUCCCACUCUAUGAAUGAGCUUCCCCCACGGCAUCCCAUUUCGACGCCCUGUCACGUCCCGCUAUCGCCAAUUUGGUCGAUCCGGCCCGUACACAGACGCCGAACGAACAGCACCUCCUCUGUUCGCCCAAGGCUCAACAACAAUGGAUACAUGUAUAAAGAAAUUAAAUAAUUCCCAGGAUCAUAUUUCAAUAUACAUGGCUUGCACGAAGGCAAGCAACAAACACAAGUGAUAGUAAGUCUAACUAAACAUGAAAUCCACUGUAAUUUAAAACUUUACAUAACUGAAACAUUUAAUUAUAACAUGUCCUUCAAUACAUUCAUUUAUACGUCUCUGUACAUCAAAAUAGAUGAUACACGAACCCAAAAUGGUAUACCACUAGUACUCGGGUGUCCACUAGCUAGGCUGCUGGCUCUUGCCUCGAUCCUCGGCCACAACGCUCGCACUGGAACCUGUAUGGUUAGUGGUGUGAGAACUACAAGAAAGUUCCCAGUGGGUUCGGCUGCCGACUUCGCCGACUCACCCACUAGGUCUACUCAGGCAUAUGUAGGCAAGAAAAGUAAGCAAAUAGUAACCAACUAUAACAUGUAACUACUACAAUGCCUGUACAAAGCUGAAAGAAGUAAUAUAUGAAAACUGUAAAUAUGCAUGGAUGCUUUUCAUUAACUUUACCCAAUCUUUUGGUUAACCCUCUGGUUAACAGCUGGACAAGUACGUUAGUCCUGGGGCAAGUACGUUAGCCCAUAAAUUUACCCAAUUCAGUGGUUAACCCUUUGGUUAACAAUAACUCACCAACGAAAUCCCUCACGGGCCCUAAGCUGCCUCCCGAUGGGACCGUCUGUCGGACAAGUACGUUAGUCCUGGGGCAAGUACGUUAGCCCAACAAGUGACUACUCCGGAGCUCACUGCCUGGGGGGAGCGACCACCACCAAGCUAAGAAAACAGACUAUGUGAGUAAGAUCUGAUCCCCCUUUAGAGGAUUCAACUGACAACAAUGUCACAAUUUAACUCUAACUAGUUCUUUAUACUAGUUUCAUAAUUACAUUUCUCGAUGCUAACCAAAUCUCUAGUCAUGAUGUCACCAAGUUUACUAUUGUCUUGGUUCUUUACAGUUUCAUACAUUCAUAGGGUUCUAUAUCCACAUUCUAAUGUUCAUAUGUAAGAUCUGGUCCUCCUUUAGAGGAUUCAAUAACUGACAAUACUACAAGUUAACCUCUAACUAGCUCUUUAUGCUAGUUUCACAAUUUCACUGUUUAUCUCACAAUGCUAUCCAAUUCUCUAGUUAGAAUGUCACCAAGUUCACUAUUGUCAAAGUCCAUGCAUUCAUAGGGUUCUAUGUCCACAAUCUAAGGUUCACAAAUUCUUAUUGUUGAUAGGAAUUCACAUUUUCACUCGCUCAAUGCCAAACACCCUAUAAUGCAUGACUACAAAUAUAAAUAUGCUCAACGAAGAAUCAUAGACAUAAAAGGUGAUUCAAAGACUUCGGAUAGCACCACCCACCUGUCUUUGAUGCCGGAAUGGGAGAAAUGCGCUUCUAGCGCUUUCCCGAGAAUCGCGACCCGCGCUCGCGACUUUCGACGCCGAAAAUCUUCUUUUGGCGAUAUCUUCGCGUAGGAGCGUCGGAUUGCCGAACCGACUUCGCCAGCGCGUUUCUUUUAUCCCCAAUUAGGUUUACACGCGGUCAAUUUCACUUUAGGGCUUCUAUCCUGCAAAAGUGCAUUGUCGAGUCAGUUUCUCAAAAACCCCGAUUUCAAUGCAAUUUUACAUGUAAAUAGCAUAUUUCAACUCUUUCUUCGUCCAAGGAUCUCAGAUCAGUUAUUAAAAACUGUACAAAUGCUUCGAUUCCACUUUUCUCUCCAUUCUAUUAUCUUUCUUUCAUUUUUUCCUCUUCUUCUUUCUUUUCUUUCUUUCUCUUUUCUUUCUUUCUUGCUUUCUUUUCUUUUCCUUCCUUUCUUUCUUUUCUUUCUUUCUCUUUUCUUUCCUUUCUUUUCUUUCUUUUCUUUCUUUCUUUCUUUUCUUCCUUUCUUUCUUUUCUUUCUUUCUCUUUUCUUUCCUUGCUUGCUGCCCCUGCAGGGCAGCAGCUGCUGCUGCUUGCACUGCUGCUGCUGCUGCUGGUGCAUGCUGCUGCUGCUGCUGCUGGCAGCAGCUGGCUGAGCUGCUGCUGCUGCAGCAGCUUGCUGCUGCUGCGGAGGCUGCUGCUGCUGCUAGCUGCAGCUGCUGCUGCUGCUAAUGCUGCUUGCUGCUGCUGCUGAUGCUGCUGCUGCUUGCUGCUGCUGCUGAAGCUGCUGCUGCUGAAGCUGCUGCUGCUGCUGCUGAAGCUGCUGCUGCUUGCUGCUGCUGCUGGUGCCACUGCUGCUGCUGCUAACUGCAGCUGCUGCUGCUGCUAGCUGCAGCUGCUGCUGCUGAUGCUACUUGCUGCUGCUGCUGAGCAAGCUGCUGCUGCAGCUUGCUGCUGUUCCUGCUCACAGCAGCAGCAAGGGCUGCUGCUGCUGCUGCGACUACUAAUAGCAGAGAGAGGGGUGAGAGGGAGAGAUAUAUUUACCUUUUUUUCUUUUUCUUCUUCUCUUUCUCCUUUCUCUUCUUCUUCUCCUUCUUUUCUCCUUCUCUCUCUCUCUCUACGUAUGCAGCAAGAAGAGGGGAUAAGGAUGGAGGGGGCUGCCUGGCAGGUUUAGUGGAAUUCCACUAAGCCAUAUGAAAAUUACCAUUUUGCCCCUCGACUUAUCCGUUUAGCCGCGCGGAUCAAAUACCUUUCGCAGGCCCUUCCGAAAGUCCGAUUGAGCUCAAAUUUGACAGGAAUGCUCGUUUUUACUUAACAAGUCCACUGAAAUUUUAACAUUUCAGUUUCGACCCCGUUUGGUUACUGCGAACUGUCCCGAACUGUAAUCUUCAUCAGAUAACUUUCGGAUGCUAUUUCUCUCUCUACAGGUGUCAGAAUAAUGUGAAACUUGAAAUCUGGCCUCAUACCAAUGUUCCUGACAUCUCCGCCAAUUUUCAUAAUUUUCUGACACUGUGCAUUUUCUACUAAUUUCUCAGUCCCGUUCUUUACAGAAAAUUCCAGUUCUUCUGUUUUCGCUCCGAUUUCGGCACGAGUCAUUCCAGACUAACUUGGGUACUCCAUAAAUUAUCUCCGAGCCUCGCUUUAACUCUUUUAAUCAAAGUUAGCGUCAGAAUUCCGAAAAUUCUAUUUACAUUUCGUUUCGCGCCCAAUUUGCGCCGAAACACUUAUUUAUCAUCGGAAUUCAUUCUCACGCGUCCAAAAUCACUCGGGGAAGACGUCCAACUAGCUCAAUCCUCACUUUGAUCCAAUAGAUCAAAGUUGACAUUGCAGCUUCAGGAUGCCAUAUAUUACACGCCCAAUCCUGCACAGGCGAGCAUGUGUCACAAUGGCUAUCUCCGGAGUGCCGGCUUGUGGGGAGUGACUCUCACAAGCAUAUGCGAAUGAGUACAAUGGCAAGCCAGCGUGUAAGUCCGUCACAAAUCCAAUGUCAUCAUGUCUAAAACAUGGAAUACAGUCAAUGUCUCAAUGACCUAUCACUAAGUCAUCAUGUUGUAGUUUAACCGUUUACUAGGUUGAGUGCCCCUUUAUGGCACUUUUGUCCACUAUGUCCCAACAUGAGUUUUGUGUCCAAGAGCACAUAAUUCUAGUCAUUUACAUUAUAUGAAAUAUGAGCCCAAGUCUUAAGAUAGAAUGCUACCCACAUGCAUGUCUACAGUGCACAAGUCUCUCUACUACAUAGAGGCGAUUUUUCAAGAUGCAUAACAUAAAGAUUUUAAGCAUUCUAAAAUUCACAUAAAUGCUAUCUAGCAUGAAUAUGAAUAUGCAUGAAUUGCUAUUUUACGACAACCAAAAAUAACAUAGGAGGAUUUUCUCCCAUAUUCAAUGAAGUCAAACCCGCCGAAACUCUUAACCGCCCUUCAUUUGUGCCGACAAAGGUGCUCGCUACUCUCCUAGCACCCUAAAGGUAAUGAAAAGAGAGAUACACGAACGUUACGAACACUAGCGAGCUCAAACAUUAACUAUCUCAAGAAAAAAGCUGAAAACGCACCUAUAAAGAAGAAACCCUCUCUUAAUCUCAAAAUGGGAGUUAGAGUCCUUCUAAUCCAACCUAUACAAAGGUUCUAAACCAAUCAAUUAGGAUCCAAAAGCCUCUAAUCAAAAUUCCCCAUUUUAAACCCUAAGUCUUCAUUUAUAGGGUUACUACUCAAAAACCAUGAAAAUCAUGAUCAAAAGAGGAGUAAGCAACUAACCUCUCUAGAAGCUCCAAAUUAGGCUCAAGAUCCACUAAAGUUGAGAUCCUUCCCUCAAGCAAACUCCAAUUCCUUCUCCAAUGCUUCUCCAAUGGUGAAGAGAUCACCAAAAGCCAAAAGAAGCAAAAGAGGAGAUCAAUCCUCAAAAAAAAUCCCAACAAAAGAGAGGGAAAUACUAAGGAAAAUGGAGAGGGGACUCACCUCUCCUCUUCUCUGUUGCAGCACAAAAACCUCAGCCAAGAGGUGUAGGGGAUUAUAAGGUAUUGCAACAAUUACAAAGAGAUCCUUCAAAAACUGUCAGGCUGCAGUUUGCAUCGUGUACCGGUACACGGUAAAGUGUACCGGUACAAACCCGCAGUACGCGCAAACUAGAGGCUCGGGUUGGCAGAAAAUCCCAUCUGUACCGGUACACUUCCGAUGUUGUACCGGUACAGCCAACUGUUCCGGUACAACCUUGAUGGUGCAGAGUGCAAUCCGAGAGCAGCCUAAGUUCUCCUCUUUGGGGACCUUAGCCCUAAGUUAAAAACCACAACUCUUGGGAUGCGAGUCAUAGGUCGGAAUACUGUCAACGACAUUUAAAAGUGUCGUUAAAAGUGUCGGUAAUUUAGCCAGCAACACUUUUUUUUACCUGUACUGACAUUUAAAAGUGUCGCUGUAGACCAUUUUUGUUGUAGUGCCAGAAAAUCUGGAAAAACUCAGAACACAGAUCAAACACUGGAACCCCGCAAUUUGCAAAGAUCCAGUGUGUUACAUUCACCCCUCCUAAAAAGGAGUUUCGUCCGCGAAACUCAGAAGCAACGCACCUCAAGGCUCCAUCCGAAAAGAUGGGGAUAAUGCUCCUGCAAAGUGCUCUCUAGCUCCCACGUGGCCUCCCACUCCUCGUGGUUGCUCCAAAGAACCUUCACAUACAGAAUAUCCCGAUUCCGCAGCUUUUUCACAUCGCGAACCAAAAUCCUCACGGGUUGCUCCUUAAAGCUCAAGUCCUCUCUCAGCUCUACUGGUAUAACAUCCAAAACAUGAGCUGGAUCGUAAACAUACUUCCGGAGGACCGAUACAUGAAAGACAGUGUGUACACCCGAUAGGUUCGGUGGUAGAGUAAGUCGAUAUGCUACCGGAUCUACACGCUCCAAAAUCUCGUAGGAUCCAAUAAACCGGGGCUCAACUUUCCCCGAAUUCUAAAUCUUCUAAUUCCUCUAGUCGGCGAGAUCUUCAAGAAAACAUGGACUCCAACUUGGAACUCCAAGUCUCGCCGUUGUCGAUCGGCGUAGCUCCUCUUUCUAUUCUGAGCCGUCAACAAUCGCUCUUGAGCAAUCCGAACCUUGUCUUCAGCUUCCUAGAGCACAUUUAGGCAUAGGGCCAAUCUCUGGUCAACUUCACUCCAAUGAAGUGGCGAUCUGCACUUCCAUCCAUACAGUGCUUCGAAGGGCGCCAUCUUGAUUCUUGCUUGAUAACUAUUGUUAUAAGCAAACUCCACCAUCGGUAGAUGCUGCGACCAUCCUCCCUGGAAGUCUAUCACACAUGCCCGGAGCAUAUCCUCUAAGGUCUGUAUAGUGCGCUCUGACUACCCGUCACUCUAAGGGUAAAAGCUGGACUGAAAUUCAAGCGCGUACCCAAGGUAUCCUGUAGGCUCCUCCAAAAGUGAGAUACAAACUGGGGGUCUCGACCUGAUACUAUAGAAGUAAGUACCCCGUGCAAUCGCACAAUCUCAUUAAGAUAUACCUGUGCGAGUCUCUCACCAGUCCAAGUCGUAUGAAUAGGUAUGAAAUGCGCCGAUUUUGUCAACCUAUCCACGAUCACCUAUAUAACAUCAUGCCCGGCCUAAGAGUGAAGCAAUUCCAUCACGAAGUCUAUGGUGAUCUUCUCCCACUUCCACACGGGAAUAGGCAAACUCUGAAGUUUUUCCGCGGGUAAUCGGUGCUCAGCCUUUACUUGUUGGCAAGUUAAACAUCGAGCCACAAACUCGCCAACAUCCUUUUUCAUUUCGGGCCACCAAUAAAGUAGCUUCAAAUCCUUGUACAUCUUGGUGCCUCCCGGAUGUAUAGCAUAGGGUGUCUGGUGUGCUUCUUGAAGGAUGUCCUCUUUAAUUCCCACAUCCACCGGUACAUAAAACCGUCCACAAAAGCGCAUCACUCCUUGGUCAUCCACAAGGAAAUCACCGGUGCAACCAUCAACCAUUUUAUCCCGAAUCUUUUGCAACUCCACAUCGUGAACUUGCUUUUCUUUAAUUCUAUCCAAUAGUGUAGGUUGCACUACCAAGGCCAUUAACCUCAAGGGUGUAUCAGGAGCCAACACCUCUAACUCCAACCGCUUCAUCUGCUCGACCAACGGCGGUUGAGUAACAAUGAGCAUAGCUAAGUUUUCCGUCGAUUUCCGACUUAGCGCAUCCGCCAUCACGUUAGCCUUGCCCGGGUGGUAAAGUAUCGUCAAAUCAUAAUCCUUGAGUAGCUCCAACCAUCUGCGCUGCCUCAAGUUCAGCUCCUUCUGAGUGAAUAGAUACUUUAAUCUCUUGUGAUCCGUAUACACUUCACACUGCUCGCCAUAAAGAUUGUGGCACUAUAGCUUCAAUGCAAAGACUACAGCCGCCAAAUCCAAAUCGUGAGUAGAAUAGUUUCUCUCAUAUUUCUUCAAUUGGCGAGAAGCAUACGCGAUCACCUUGCCAUCCUGCAUCAAAACACAACCCAAUCCAUUAAAAGAAGCAUCACUAUAAACUCCGUACCCUGCUCGAGUAACCGGCAGGGUUAGGAUCGGGGCGGUCGUCAAUCGAGUCUUCAACUCUUGAAAGCUUCUCUCACACGCAUCAUUCCAAAUGAAUUUGGUGCCUUUAUGCGUAAGCCUCGUGAGGGGAGUAGAUAACUUUGCAAAUCCCUCAAUAAACCUCCGGUAGUAACUUGCGAAACCAAGGAAACUCUGGAUCUCCGUAACACUCGUCGGUCUAGGCCAAUCCUUGAUUGCUUCAAUCUUCCUAGGAUCCACGGCUAUACCCGAUUCCGAAAUCAAAUGUCCAAGGAAUGCCACUUCUCGAAGCCAAAAUUCACACUUUUUCAACUCGGCAUAGAGUUUCCGUUCCCGAAGUACUUGAAGUACAAGCCUUAAAUGUUCCUCAUGAUCUGCCUCACUACGGGAAUAAACCAAGAUAUCGUCGAUAAACACCACGACGAACCUGUCUAGAUAAGGCUUAAAAACACGGUUCAUUAGAUCCAUAAAAACUGCCGGGACAUUAGUAAGCCCGAACGGUAUAAUAGUGAACUCAUAGUGUCCAUACUGUGUUCUAAAAGCCAUCUUCGAUAUAUCCUCGGGCUUGAUCUUUAAUUGGUAGUAUUUCGACUGCAAGUUGAUCUUGGAAUACACACUUGAUCCCUGAAGCUGAUCAAACAGGUUGUCGAAUCCUUGGCAACGGAUACUUUUUCUUGAUCGUGACUUUAUUAAGUUCACGAUAAUCCAUACAUAGGCGAAGUGAUCCAUCCUUCUUCUUAACGAAUAAAACUGGUGCUCCCUAAGACGAGAAGCUCAGUCGAAUGAAACCUUUAUCCAAAAGAUCCUGCAGCUGUGCCCUCAGCUUUUUCAACUCUGCAGGUGCCAUCCUAUAGGGCGCCUUUGAGAUUGGAGUAGUCCCAGGGACAAGAUCUACUAUAAACUCGAUCUCCCAAUCAGGUGGCAUACCUGGUAGCUCAGCUGGAAACACAUCACAAAACUCCCGCACCACCGGGAUAUCCUCAAUCCUAGGGGCAUCAUUCUCUCCCCUCAGCACAAUACUAGCCAAAUAGGCUACGCAACCUCUGCUGAUCAGCUGCCUAGCUCGAGACGAGCUAAUCGUCAUCGCAAACAGUGAACUUCGGCAUCCUCUAAAUACCACUUCAGUCUGCCCCGGUUCUCUAAAAGUAACCGUUCGAUCCUUACAAUCGAUAGUGGCAAAAUACUUCGUCAACCAAUCCAUACCCAGAACCACAUCAAACUCCCCCAGCUUGCGAAAAGCUAGCAGGUCCACGGGCAUAAUCCAAUCCCCUACCCGAACAAGGCAACUGGGGCAAAACUCUCGAAUAUACAAGAUGUGAUCUGGUACAACAACAUGUCCCAAAUGCAACAAAGGAACCAACUAGAUGCCAUGCAAUUCGGCGAACAGCCGAUCAGUGAAUGAAUGUGAUGCACCAGUAUCAAAUAAUGCACGAACUCGAAUGCCAUUUAAUAAAAUGAUACCUGCUACCACAUCCUUGGCUGCUGCCACCUCCUCGGUCUGAGCAGCAUACAAACGCCCACUCGGGGCCUAGCGUGACCCCUCACUCUGGCGCAGGACGGGUGGCCGCCGAGGCUGGUACUGUGCCGACGGAGUCCCCUGACUGGCAGCUGGUAGAGCCGGUGCCGAUGCAGUCGAUGGUGCUGGUGACGAUCUCCUCGGGCACUCAGUCCGGAAGUGGCCCUCCUAGCCACACAGGAAACACCGACCGCCCCGCUACGGACACUGUGGUGGAAUAUGGGGACUACCACAAAUCACGCACUGGGAGGUCGGCGACGAUCAGAACCUCCUCGCUGCGCCGACGAGCCGCGACCACGCUGCUGGCUUCUAAGGUACUUCGGCGGCCUCCUAAAGUGCGUCUGACUGGCACACUCAGCCGUAGGCCUCUUGCCCUUACCCUUGUCGAAUCCUUCUCUCCGCUCCUGAACAUCCGCCGCACCGCUCUCCAUGAUGAGCACGCGGUUCACCACCUUCCGGUAGGUUUGGAGGUUAGAGGAUUGCACGAACCGGAAGAUCGACGGUCGCAGUCCCCGCUCAAAGAUGCGUGCCUUGUCCUCGUCGUCCCGUACGACGAAAGGCACGCAAUGUAGGAGCCAAGAAAACUCCCUCUCAAACUCGGCUACGGUCUAGUCUCCUUGGCGCAAGUUGCGCAAAUCCUGCUCCAUCUUCCGCUUGACACUAUCGGGGAAGUAAUGCGCCAAAAGAAGCUCCUUGAACUUCUUCCAGGUAAUCGCCGAAAGGUCAGUAUUGGGGUUGUCUUGGAUAUACAACCACCAACGAUAGGCCUCGCCGUCUAGGUGGUGAGUAGCGAGCCAAACUCGAUCCCUCUCCUCCACGAAGGUGUCGCGGAAGAGCUUCUCCAUAUGCAUCAACCACUUCUCCACGAUCCAGUAGUCGACUUUCUCGCCGUCGAAGACUCGGGGACUGCACCUCCUGAACUCAUUGAAACGAUCCAUGAGUCGGUCCCGCUCUGCUCCCUGAACUAAUAUGGAAAAAACUGCCCCUGCUAGAGGCAUCUGAGCUGGUGGUGCCGCGACUACCUCCUCCCGAGGCGCAUCCGCAGGUGCCGUCUGCGAAGUGUCGAGUGCAGGGGACGACACUCUGGGUGCAACCACCUCCACCGGCACGGGUGGUGUAGGAACCUGAGCCUCCCUGGAAACUGCCUGCUGCAGAAGGAGGUCCUCGAGCCACUUCAUCCGCGCCUCCUGCCAGCGUGCCGCAUCUAUCUGCUACUGAGCCGCCGCGGUCUGCUGUGCAACCAAGUUGGUGGGGACCGCAAGCUAGCUCCUCAACUCACGGACCUCGCUGGAUCCGGAGGUAGUGGAGGUCUUCACCUCCUCAAGAUUUGCCGCAUUGUCCGCUCCAACAGACUCAGAGCGAGUAAUCGGCAUCGUCACUACAACAUUAUAAAAGCGCAAGUUAGCAAAAACCAACGCUAUUGCAACCCCGUUCGACAGAUAAUACCCAAAUCAUGCGAAAGUAAUGAAAUGUCCUCUACUACUAACUCCCGAUGUUACAUUGUCGGCCGCCAACGUAACCCUCCGUGGAGUUAGAAGCUAUACACUUCGAUUAAACUCCAACAUUUUUAGAGUUAUUAUAAAACCCAAUCUUAAUACUUUCACUUACAUGUCAAAUAGACUUCGUAUCUCACGAGCUUCUUUCCUAUUGUCCAACCGGCCUAAGGUUUGCUAGGUGCACUAAGACUCAACCCUAGGCUCUGAUGCCAACUUAAUCUGUCACGCCCCGGGACCUAGCGGAAGUCCGCCCGGCGCGUGUCCAGACCCGCCAUACGUCUGCAACAUAUAAGGCGUCUGUAACAAAAUGAUAAAUAAAGCAAUAAUAUAUAAAGAUCUAGAGACAUCAGAGCAUACAACAUCUAGAUUCUAGGAUAAGAAGGUAAACAAGAGCUAAAAUCCACUAAGAAAGAACCAUAAAGUGAUACAAUAGGAACCCAAAAUACAAGUGCUAAAAGUAUAACAAUGGUGUUCUCUAUACAUGGUAGCAAACUCUCCCUCAGAACAAAAUACAAAAAGAGGGAACCACCUAAAGCAAAAGGCGAACUCCACGCUAUCUAGUUAGCGAUCCCCUUGCCACGGUCCUGUGCCUCCACCGGUGUAGAGGGCUCUGAAAGAAAACCAUAAAAUAGGGGCAUGAGAACUAUUAGAUAAUAGUUCCCAGUGGGUAAUUACUGACUUCAGUGAAAAGCACCACUAGGCCCAAAACCAAAGGAUGUAAGUGAAAAUAUAUAAACGAUAUGAACAACAAGUAUUUAAACAUGAAUAACUUGCUAAACCUUUAAGUCUAUACUUAGCAUGAAUUUACAUUUUGGUUCGACUUGUUCCAAGUCACAUAGGACCUACCCGUGGGUAGUCCGGCUUGCGCCGUGCCUAAUGGCCCCGUGGUGGUCAACAUUCCCACUCUAGGAAUGAGCCUCCCCCACGGCAUCCCAUUUCUGCGCCCAAUCCCGCACGGGCGAGCAUGUGUCGCAAUGACUAUCUCCAGAGUGCCGGCUUGUGAGGAGCGACCCUCACAAGCAUGUGCGAAUGAGUACAAUGGCAAGCAAGCGUGUAAGUCCGUCACAAAUCCAAUGUCAUCAUGUCUAAAAUAUAGAAUACAGUCGAUGUCUCAAUGACCUAUCACUAAGUCAUCAUAUUGCAGUUUAGCCAUUUACUAGGUUAAGUGCCCUUAUAUGCAAAGCUGAGGAAGUGCGACUUUUGGCUUCGAGAGGUUGCAUUUCUAAGGCAUGUUAUUUCUGAGGGUGGUGUUUCUGUUGACCCGAGGAAAGUGGAGGCGAUUAAAGAUUGGCCACGCCCGACUAAUGUCACGGAGGUCCGAAGCUUCGUGGGCCUGGCAGGCUAUUAUAGACGGUUCGUGGAGGGCUUCUCGAAGAUAGUUAUUCCUCUUACCCGUCUAACUCAGAAGGGCACCAAGUUUGUUUGGAGAGAGGAAUGCGACCGGAGUUUCAAUGAGUUGAAGGAGAAAUUGACUUCGACUCCGGUGCUUACUUUACCAGUGCCAGGUAAGGACUUUGUGGUUUACAGUGACGCGUCUUAUUCAGGAUUAGGGUGUGUUCUGAUGCAAGAUGGAAAAGUGAUCGCAUAUGCGUCCCGUCAAUUGAAGAGCUACGAGAAGAACUACCAUGUCCACGACUUGGAGUUAGCCGCGGUGGUAUUUGCUCUCAAGUUGUUGAGGCAUUACUUGUACGGCGUACGCUGCAAAGUGUAUACUGACCACAAGAGUCUGAAGUAUUUGUUCACACAGAAGGAGCUGAACAUGCGACAACGGCGGUUGUUGGAGCUGCUAAAGGAUUAUAAUCUUGAUAUUCUCUACCACCCCGGGAAGGCAAAUGUAGUCGCUGAUGCACUCAGUUGAAAGUCGGCGGAGAACCCCACGAUGCGGGUCACGAAUCAGGAGCCCCUACGGAAAGAAACGGGACGGAUUGGUCUCGAGGUUGUAGCUCCGGAGAUUCCGGCUAUGUUGUCAACUCUCGUUGUCCAACCUGAAAGUUUUGAGGAGCCCAAGGAUCUAUCUAGAUUGUAUCUAUCACCUAGAGGGGGGUGAAUAGGUGAACGACCAAAAACCACAAAUCUCGAUGCAAUAAAAAUAAAUACGGAAAAUAAAAAGCACACCGAGAUUUACGUGGGAAAACUCCAACUUGGAGAAAAACCCACGGGACCAACACGCGAAAAAAUAAUUCACUAAGAGAAAAGAUUACAAGGUGAUUACCGACUCCACGGACUCAACCUCUCUUAACCUCCUAUGAAUCUUCGCGCUACCCUCCGGGUUGUCCACGCCCUCACG